This 252-nucleotide ribosomal RNA is filed under the name uncultured prokaryote. RNAcentral describes it as "partial 16S ribosomal RNA". It matches the Rfam family "Bacterial small subunit ribosomal RNA", at positions 523 to 774 of the family's 1533-position model. The record is from RNAcentral.
AUACGUAGGGUGCGAGCGUUGUCCGGAAUUAUUGGGCGUAAAGAGCUCGUAGGCGGUCUGUCGCGUCGGUUGCGAAAGCCCGGGGCUUAACCCCGGGUCUGCAGUCGAUACGGGCAGGCUGGAGUUCGGCAGGGGAGACUGGAAUUCCUGGUGUAGCGGUGAAAUGCGCAGAUAUCAGGAGGAACACCGGUGGCGUAGGCGGGUCUCUGGGCCGAUACUGACGCUGAGGAGCGAAAGCGUGGGGAGCGAACA